RNAcentral lists this ribosomal RNA (448 nucleotides) under uncultured bacterium. Its description in RNAcentral is "bacterial SSU rRNA". It matches the Rfam family "Bacterial small subunit ribosomal RNA", at positions 348 to 786 of the family's 1533-position model. The record is from RNAcentral.
GCAGCAGUGGGGAAUAUUGCACAAUGGGCGAAAGCCUGAUGCAGCUAUGCCGCGUGUAUGAAGAAGGCCUUAGGGUUGUAAAGUACUUUCAUCGGGGAGGAAAAAACAAAACUAAUAAUUUUAUUUCUUGACGUUACCCGAAAAAGAAGCACCGGCUAACUCCGUGCCAGCAGCCGCGGUAAUACGGAGGGUGCUAGCGUUAAUCAGAAUUACUGGGCGUAAAGAGCACGUAGGUGGUUUUUUUAAGUCAGAUGUGAAAUCCCUGGGCUUAACCUAGGAACUGCAUUUUGAAACUGAAAUACUAGAGUAUCGUAGAGGGAGGUAGAAUUCUAGGUGUAGCGGUGAAAUGCGUAGAUAUCUGGAGGAAUACCUGUGGCGAAAGCGGCCUCCUAAACGAAUACUGACACUGAGGUGCGAAAGCGUGGGGAGCAAACAGGGAUUAGAUACC